Molecule: ribosomal RNA, 372 nt
Filed under: uncultured organism
Description: partial 16S ribosomal RNA
Rfam family: Bacterial small subunit ribosomal RNA
Source: RNAcentral
UUAGGUGGCAAGCGUUGUCCGGAAUUAUUGGGCGUAAAGCGCGCGCAGGCGGUUCUUUAAGUCUGAUGUGAAAGCCCACGGGCUCAACCGUGGAGGGUCAUUGGAAACUGGAGAACUUGAGUACAGAAGAGGAAAGCGGAAUUCCACGUGUAGCGGUGAAAUGCGUAGAGAUGUGGAGGAACACCAGUGCCGAAGGCGGCUUUCUGGUCUGUAACUGACGCUGAGGCGCGAAAGCGUGGGGAGCAAACAGGAUUAGAUACCCUGGUAGUCCACGCCGUAAACGAUGAGUGCUAAGUGUUAGGGGGUUUCCGCCCCUUAGUGCUGCAGCUAACGCAUUAAGCACUCCGCCUGGGGAGUACGGCCGCAAGGCUG